GAUAAAACGCUGGCGGCGCACAUAAGACAUGCAAGUCGAACGGACUUAACUCAUUCUUUUUAGAUUGAGAGCGGUUAGUGGCGGACUGGUGAGUAACACGUAAGCAACCUGCCUAUUAGAGGGGAAUAACAGUGAGAAAUCAUUGCUAAUACCGCAUAUGCUAACAGUAUCGCAUGAUACAGUUAGGAAAGGAGCAAUCCGCUAAUAGAUGGGCUUGCGUCUGAUUAGAUAGUUGGCGGGGUAACGGCCCACCAAGUCGACGAUCGGUAGCCGGACUGAGAGGUUGAUCGGCCACAUUGGGACUGAGACACGGCCCAG
RNAcentral lists this ribosomal RNA (318 nucleotides) under uncultured bacterium. RNAcentral describes it as "bacterial SSU rRNA". It matches the Rfam family "Bacterial small subunit ribosomal RNA", at positions 32 to 334 of the family's 1533-position model. The record is from RNAcentral.